AGUGAACGCUGGCGGUAGGCCUAACACAUGCAAGUCGAACGGCAGCACAGUAAGAGCUUGCUCUUACGGGUGGCGAGUGGCGGACGGGUGAGGAAUACAUCGGAAUCUACUUUUUCGUGGGGGAUAACGUAGGGAAACUUACGCUAAUACCGCAUACGACCUACGGGUGAAAGCAGGGGAUCUUCGGACCUUGCGCGAUUGAAUGAGCCGAUGUGGGAUUAGCUAGUUGGCGGGUGAAAGGCCCACCCAGGCGACGAUCCGUAGCUGGUCUGAGAGGAUGAUCAGCCACACUGGAACUGAGACACGGUCCAGACUCCUACGGGAGGCAGCAGUGGGGAAUAUUGGACAAUGGGCGCAAGCCUGAUCCAGCCAUACCGCGUGGGUGAAGAAGGCCUUCGGGUUGUAAAGCCCUUUUGUUGGGAAAGAAAAGCAGCAGGUUAAUACCCCGCUGUUCUGACGGUACCCAAAGAAUAAGCACCGGCUAACUUCGUG
RNAcentral lists this ribosomal RNA (492 nucleotides) under uncultured bacterium. RNAcentral describes it as "partial 16S ribosomal RNA". It matches the Rfam family "Bacterial small subunit ribosomal RNA", at positions 29 to 507 of the family's 1533-position model. The record is from RNAcentral.